This is a non-coding RNA of Delphinapterus leucas (beluga whale), 1757 nucleotides long. The record is from RefSeq and is a predicted model, not a curated record. NCBI's taxonomy places the organism in Eukaryota, Metazoa, Chordata, Mammalia, Artiodactyla, Monodontidae.
AGAAGAGUAUAUACUAUUAAUAUUAGGGUCUUUUUUUCUGAGUAGUGGGAUUGUGGGUCUUUUCAUCUUCGUUGGACUUCCUGAUACGUUCUCAAAAUUUUCUGUGAUGUACAUAUAAUACUUAGACAUGCAAUAAAAAUUCAAAUAAAGUCAUAUAUACAGUUAGUACUUUAACUUGUAGAAAGGACAUAUGAUAGUUAAGACAACUCUGUAGUCAUUGAACUAGAACUGAACCAGUCUUUACCCAGAAAGGAAGUAGGAGGAAAAUCGCCUAUUCAUUAAAUAUAUGCAUUUGCAUUAUAACAAUGUGAAGUUCGGCAGAAAAAAAAUUUGAAAAUUUCUUGAAAAAAGCAAGGUUCUCAACUUCCAUUCUAAAUUACUCAUAUAUGAUAUUUGGGGAACAUAAUUGAGCAGGAUUUCUUUAAACUAAAACGUGUUAUCUGAGGGAAAUUCUUGACUAAUGUCUCUUCCUUCCUCUCAGAGCUUUUCAACAAAUCCAACAAGAAUAUUCUCUCUGCUGGGAUAGACCUGGAGGCUACUAUCUGCAUGAACCGGCUCUUCCUCAGUCAGUCACAUUGCUCAAUAAACUCACCCUAUUAGAGGAAGUCUCAAAUGACAUGACGGUGAAAAUACUUGGAAGGCAGCUAUGCUCAUCACUAUACCACCAACACUAAAGAUAUACUGCAUAUUAUAGAAGCCCUACAACCAGACUUACAUCAGCUAAGAAGUUUGGGAUAUCACUACAACAGCCUUUCCAGGAGAAGAAAGGGUUACAAUACAGAGGAAAUCUGGUUUCAGAACAAUGGGGAACACAUAUAGAAUAGUGGUUAAGAGCAUGGGUUCUGGAGGUAGUCAAAUCCGGGUUUUAUUCCUGGGUCUGCCACUGGUUAGGGUAACCCAGGACCACCUACCUUCUCUAAUUCUCAGUUUUAGCAACUGCAAAAUAAGGAAAACAAUGUCUUCUUUAUAGCAUAUAGAUGAAAUGAACUGAUACAGUAAAGCAUCUGCACAGUGCCUGCCACCAAAGUGCUCAAUAGUAACAGUUAAUAUUAUUAAAUGGAAGUUAUUAUAUAUUCCCAGAUGUUAUAUAAUGGAAAUACAGAGAUUUUAACUUUUAAUGGCAUUUUAAGACUACAGUCUGGUUAUAAUGUACUGAGGAAUACUUUUUCACUGUAAGAACAAAUUGCCUUAGAUGAUUUACUUCCUGUCUUGGCUUCUAGUUUUCAUUGAUGAAUUAUUAUAGAUUUGUGUGAAUUUCAAGCAACAUUGACUAAGCUUUUUAUUUUUAAAAGUUCAUUACUUUACUGAUACAUUUAUAUAAAUAUACAUAACAUUUUAGAUAAUGCAUAAAUGUGAUCAUAUACAUGUUUUCAUAGUGAAGUUUUUUUUAAAUAUCUCUCUCCCCCCUCUUGAGCCUCUUUACACCCCAUUCCCAUAGUAGCCCGUGUUAAUAGCCUAAUAUGUAUCCAUUCAUUUUUUUCUCUUGAUUUAUACAAUUCUGUGCAAACCUAUUAAUUAAUAUACUUAUAUACUAUGCAAAUACAGGGUUUUUUGAUUAUUAAUUUAAAAAAUGAGACCAUAUUCUCAAGCAUGUUGCUUUUCUCACCCAGCAAUGCCCAGAGGAACAAUUCACUUGGGUAUAAUGUGAAUUCAUAUUUUAAUGGCAAUACAAUAUUCUAUGAUUUAGAUAUAACAUUAUGUAUUCAGCAAUCCCCCAACUGCUGAGCAUUCAUUUUGUUUCCAUUUCUGGCACUACA